UCAAUUGAAGCCAAUGAAUGGCAUAUCACUGUUAAUGAUAAGUUAAGAAGUUAAAAUCUUCUCAAUUGAG
RNAcentral lists this transfer RNA (70 nucleotides) under Triops sp. EPP1. RNAcentral describes it as "tRNA-Asn". It matches the Rfam family "tRNA". Rfam says of the family: Transfer RNA (tRNA) molecules are approximately 80 nucleotides in length. Lineage: Eukaryota; Metazoa; Arthropoda; Branchiopoda; Notostraca; Triopsidae. The record is from RNAcentral.